Pseudopipra pipra is the source of this 878-nucleotide long non-coding RNA. RefSeq lists it as uncharacterized. Lineage: Eukaryota; Metazoa; Chordata; Aves; Passeriformes; Pipridae. The transcript is spliced from 3 exons. The record is from RefSeq and is a predicted model, not a curated record.
AGGUUAAGAAGCUUACAGUUGGGAGUGCUUUCUCCCUGACUGAGAGGCAGGAGGGUGAGUGGCUGCAGAGGACAGACAGAUAAAACAGCACAAAAGCAUCACUGAUGGAGGAAGAUCAGACAAGUGCAGGAGAAGCUGAGUAGGAUAACAGCAGAUGAAUAGGUCAGGUAUCGAUGAGAAGCAAAUCCCCCACCUAAAGAGGAUGAAAAUCCCACAACAUCUUGCACCACAAAGGUGAAACCUCUCGGGUACAGGUUCUACCUGACCUCCAGAACAGGAAAUUGGAUUAGUCAGGUAAGCAAGGAGACCACGAGAGCAACUUCUGCACCACCCAUAACCCUGCAAAACAUCACCAAGGCCUUGCACAGUGUUUAAUAAUGCUGCAGCAUCGGGAUGGGAUCAUGAGAGAAUCAACUGGUUUCUGCCCUUGGUAUUACAACAUGUUCUUGAACUGCUCUGAUCUUACUCCUCCCAUCAUUAAGCCUCUAGUCAGUUAAAACCUACACAACCCCUCCCAAAUCAUGUGGGAAAGGGCCACCUUCCAUCAGCCCCAGAGAGGGAGGAAGCCCAGACUGGGCAGAACUUUGCAGGUAUUUUUCUCUUGAGGUCAUCAGAUGAGUGUCAUCAUUUUAACUGGAUCAGCUCAACGAUGCUGUCCUGCCCAUCCUUUGAAAGCUGGACAAACCAGCGUGUGAGCUUUAAACUGGCAGAGAUAUUAAUUUCAAAUCAAUAUGAAACACAAAAAUAUCAAUAGGCAUUUAAGAGGUGAAACAUUAAUUACUUUUCAAAAGGUGCAGUACACAAAUUUCCUGGUGUCUUUACAAAUAGAAAUAACGAUUUCAUAACAUUUAUAAAUGACUAAGUUAAUUAACAGGGAA